Molecule: ribosomal RNA, 460 nt
Filed under: uncultured bacterium
Lineage: Bacteria
Description: partial 16S ribosomal RNA
Rfam family: Bacterial small subunit ribosomal RNA
Source: RNAcentral
CCUACGGGAGGCUGCAGUGAGGAAUAUUGGUCAAUGGACGAGAGUCUGAACCAGCCAAGUAGCGUGAAGGAUGACUGCCCUAUGGGUUGUAAACUUCUUUUAUAUGGGAAUAAAAUGUUCCACGUGUGGGAUUUUGUAUGUACCAUAUGAAUAAGGAUCGGCUAACUCCGUGCCAGCAGCCGCGGUAAUACGGAGGAUCCGAGCGUUAUCCGGAUUUAUUGGGUUUAAAGGGAGCGUAGGGGGAUUGUUAAGUCAGUGGUGAAAGUUUGCGGCUCAACCGCAAAAUUGCCGCUGAUACUGGUCGUCGUGAGUACAGUAGAGGUGGGCGGAAUUCGUGGUGUAGCGGUGAAAUGCUUAGAGAUCACGCAGAACUCCGAUUGCGAAGGCAGCUCACUGGACUGCAACUGACACUGAGGCACGAAAGUGUGGGUAGCAAACAGGAUUAGAUACCCGAGUAGUC